This is a long non-coding RNA of Esox lucius (northern pike), 1429 nucleotides long. RefSeq annotates it as urotensin 2 domain containing. The transcript is spliced from 5 exons. The record is from RefSeq and is a predicted model, not a curated record. NCBI's taxonomy places the organism in Eukaryota, Metazoa, Chordata, Actinopteri, Esociformes, Esocidae.
UACUACAGUCGUUAGCUUGGUGAAUUGAAUUGGCUGGCUAGCUAACAAACUAAGUAGCCAUCUAACUAAAGGCAACUGUUUUACAGGAAACAAACAAAUAUGAGAGUAUGCACGCACUUGACACAGCAGGUAAUGCGGAAAAACCACCCGGCCAAUCGCGGACAGAAAGCCAAGUUUAUCACCCGAGGGAAGACACAGAUUUCCAAACCAAGAUUCUUGCAUUGUUACUACAUAAAAGCUUUGUACCUGUUGAAAGAAAAGAUGCCUUAGAUUUAGAUUUGGCCAACAGACUUGCCGAACUGGAACAGCUGGAGGAUUUACAACAAGGAAAAGGGCUGUCAUCUCAAGCAUUAGUGGAAGACAAGCCAGUACAAAGAAAAAGGAAUGAGCCUUGUUUCUGGAAGUACUGCGUGUGACCACGCCUACCACGGCAGCUUCCUCCAAUGACACAAUCACAUGAACACAACUCGGCAAUCGUUGAUAUGUAUUGUAAUAAUGUAGCCUUCUCAUUACAUCACAUUUACAUAGCCUCUGUGCUGUUUUCUGAACCAGAGACAGCCUGGUGGUUAGAGCAUGUAUCUACUAACCAAAACCGCUGCUAGAUCAAAUUUCUGGGCUGGCAAGGUGAGAAAUCUGUAAUUCUGUCCUUGAGCGAGACAAUUAACCUUAAGUGCUCCUGUUGGUCACGCUGGAUAAGAGCGUCUGCAAAAUGACUAAAAUGAAAAUGACUGAAUAAGUCUGUGACACCAAGGUUUUGGGAGAAGGACUGACUUGAUGUCCGGCCCUCUCCGGUGAUUCAACCAAUCGCAUCAGUUCUAAUAUCGGUCUCCCAAGUCAUGAUUGAGUGAAACUUUUACUUUGACAGUCCGGCUAACAUCAGGGUGCGCUUGAGUGUCUGUGUUGUGUUGCUAAUGUAUAUCACCUGAAACAACUAAUCAUCUGUUUGGAAGGUACUGUAUCAGAUGUUACUGAAGGAUAAUUGAUGGGACAAGGUCCUGCUAGUGUGUCUGCUGACACCCAAGGCUAAAUCCCCUUGUCAAUAGGUUGAGUUUGUCUCCAUCUAGUGUUAAAUGGAGGUAGUGACAAGACAUGCAACUUUCACAUAGUGAAUGAGGAUAAUUUUGAACAUGGUUAUAACUCAGUCGAAGACCCAAACUCAAAAUAAUCAUGUAUUAAUACGAUAAAUUCAGCAUGUCGCAGUACGAUAAAUACAGUGUGAUAAAUAUUUACCAAUACAUUAAAUAUAUACCAGUGUGAUAAAUGUAUACCUGUAUGAUAAAUACAGGAUUUACUGUAAGUCCAGAUAAAUAUGUAUCUUUUGCAUCCCUACUUGAGUAAAGAAGGGUAAUACAUACAGUGAUGUAUUAUUAUAACAGGUCUCCACACCUGUUAUAAUGCCAGGUUCUUGUGAUGUAAUAGAAUGAGACAA